Molecule: non-coding RNA, 629 nt
Organism: Camelina sativa (false flax)
Lineage: Eukaryota; Viridiplantae; Streptophyta; Magnoliopsida; Brassicales; Brassicaceae
Source: RefSeq, a predicted model, not a curated record
AGUAAGCUCUCAUUCUCAGAUUCAAUUCGAAUGUCUCACUUGUUGUUUGGUUUCCUGAUUAGGUUAAAUUUGUGUUGGUUUUGGUGAAUUUGGGUUUGAAGUUUCAGUGUGGUGUGAAUGAUUGAUGUAUUUGUUUUCCUUGGAGGGUCCUUUUUUUUCCUUUUUUUUUUCACCAAGUGCUUGUUCACGGCAUUGCUUGUCCUCCAGUAUGAGUAUCUCCCGUGCUGCAGUUGGUUCAGGAAGAAAUUUUAGAAGGGCAGUUGUGUUUGGGAAAACUCAUGUCGUUAAGCCCAAAGGGAAGCACCAAGCAACUAUUGUCUGGCUACAUGGGCUUGGGGACGUUGGCUCAAGAUCAUUCCUUUCUGUCCCAAUGUCCCAAGGAAAAUCACCUAGCAUACUAGUUUAUUGUACAUUGCUUCCUUUUUUUACGGUUUACUUCACAGUCUCGAUCCGGGGUAUCUGGAAUGGUAGAAAUUGUAAAUGAUCUGAACACUAUUGACUACCAGUAAUGAAUGUAACUUAUGUUAGAGUUUUCAGUUUUGACAUUGUUCACCGGCUUGAUUGAUAUAAUAAACUUACUUGAUACACGGCUAGUUUAAUCAUUAUCUUAAGUCUUUUUCUUUUUCUGA